Hirundo rustica (Barn swallow) is the source of this 1628-nucleotide long non-coding RNA. RefSeq lists it as uncharacterized. The record is from RefSeq and is a predicted model, not a curated record. Lineage: Eukaryota; Metazoa; Chordata; Aves; Passeriformes; Hirundinidae. The transcript is spliced from 3 exons.
CCUGAACUGCUUAAGAGGGGAGUGAUCCUUUCAGAAAACCCUUUUCACAUGGACUUAAUGAGGAGCUGGAUCAAACUUUUAAGUUUUGCUGGGACAAGGGGCAAUGGACAGAAAAUGGAACAUAGAAAUUCCACCUGAAUAUAAGGAAGAACUUCACUGUGUAGAAGGUGCUGUUUGACAAAGGACAUCACUGCACGCUGCUACAUGACAUGGGGAGCCCUGGUGAGCCGUCUUGCUGCAAACUAAUUUGGGGAAGAAUUACUCAGGAAAAGCUCCCUUGAAAUAAGUGAGACACGUGCGCAUUUCAGCCGUUUCUUAAAAGCAAGAGGUGUCAUCUGCUCUGUGAUUUAAGAGUAGCUGGUUUAUGAAUCAGGGUUUCCCCAGAGAUGACUUUGAUUGUCAGGGUUGCUGCUGCAAGGCUCUUUGCUUUGCUCAGUCCUUGCUUUGGCUGGGCCAGGUAGAACUGCCACGGCUUUGACCUUGCACAGAGGUUGUGCUCACAGUUUUGAAGGCAGUAAUACCUCUGGAUGUAAAGAAGCUAAUAGUGCUUCAGCACUGACUAGGAAGCAAACACAUUGAAGAGGGAUCCUUUGAUAGAAAAAUCUGUCAGCGUGUGGGCUGGCUGCAGUCAGAUGCCACCCCAGCCUGGAAGACAGAAGAACUCUCCAGGAACAAGCCUGCAGGACCAUGGGCCAUAGGCCACAUCCCAUUUCCUAUUCUGAUCUUAAAAAUGUGAACCUGGCAAGAGUUUGGUUUUGCUUUUUAGGAUAGAAGCUGGUUUGGGGUAUGAGUCCUUUAAUCUGUUUUUCACAAGUUGGUCCUUAACCUGCUGCACUGGGGACAAGACCACAUAGGGAGCAAGAGGCUGCUGAAUGUUUGCUUCAAGAUGCCGGUGCCUCCUGAACAGCGCUAGAUCUCUACAUGCAAGGCUGACUUUCGGAACAUUAUCAUCAGGGUCACAUUUUUGCACUUAUCCUUUCUGAUGGUCAUUGGUGUGAGCGCUUGGUGCACACUGGUUAUCUGUCUGAACUUGAGCAGAAUGCAGUAAAUCAGAUUGUCUCUGGCUUCUGGUGAUCACAGCCUCAGCCUCUGGUGUCACAACUUCAGCUAUUGUGCCUCAUGGUGCCAAAAUGGGAUUUUUCAGUGUUAGCCUUAAGAGCCCAUGGGAUCAGAGAAUUCACCAGAAGCAACCCUGUGAAACAGAAACUUUCCAGCAGCUGCUGCUCGGUGUGAACUGCUGGGGAUGAGUUCAGCUCUGAUUCACUGCCUGGUAUCUGUAAGGCUGGUUCCUUCCCAGCCAUAGGACUCUGCUCCUUCCCUCUUCCCAUCAGUGGAACAGAGAAAAGUCAGUGGGUCCACACAAGCUGCUGUUGAAUGUGUAGAGUCGAAAUGAUACUCAGGAAUAUAUUAAAUUGGAGUAAAAAGAAAUGGACGCCACCCAAGACUGAAUCAGAAACUGAAGAAAAAUAAAGAAACCAUGUAAAAACAAUCUGUUUGCAUCAAGCCUGUUAAAUUCAAUACACUUUAAAGCAGCAAAGGGCUUUGGAAAGCUGCUGUGAGGUCCAGGAAUGUGAAAGUGAGCUGAGGACAAGGUGUGGAUUAUGUAAGGAAAAAGAACUUUUAAAAAA